RNAcentral lists this non-coding RNA (120 nucleotides) under unclassified sequences. Its description in RNAcentral is "Betaproteobacteria-1 RNA". It matches the Rfam family "Betaproteobacteria-1 RNA". The record is from Rfam by way of RNAcentral.
UUUUUGUUUGGUCGGGGUAAACGGCAGCGAACAGACUUAGCACCCGGUACUGUGGGGUCAGGGGAGGAAGCACCGGACAGGCGGCGAAGUUGGCACCUGUUCCCCGAAAGGCCGACGACC